RNAcentral lists this long non-coding RNA (414 nucleotides) under Mustela putorius furo (domestic ferret). RNAcentral describes it as "lncRNA (ENSMPUG00000026439.1)". Lineage: Eukaryota; Metazoa; Chordata; Mammalia; Carnivora; Mustelidae. The record is from RNAcentral.
GGACGGGGCAGCCUGCAGGGGCAGCAGCUACUGCCGUCUCUGCAGCUCGGUGGCCAGGGGUGGAAGGAAGCCGCAGCCGCAACCCCAAGUCACCCCCCGCUGCCCUGUCCCACCGCCUCAUCUCUCCCCCCUCGGUGCUCUUCCAGCUCCCAGAUGGUUGGAUCUUGCAGUGUAAUGUCAGGGACCUCCUAAGGUUUGUUUGUUUGUUUGUUUCUUAUUGUCAAGGAAUGCCAGCACUUUGCCUUCCACUCUAAUACCAUUAAUGGAGAACAUAUUCUUUAAACAUGGAACAUACGUUCACUAAAAUCAAUUCAUAUAGAAAAAUGCAGCACUUUUCAGGAGGAAGGAGAUUAAGGAGAUUUGCAACCUGAGGAAUAAUUGACUUGUGCAUACCUCCUCCAUCCAAAGGAUCAG